RNAcentral lists this small RNA (716 nucleotides) under Vigna angularis var. angularis. Its description in RNAcentral is "Non-protein coding transcript". Lineage: Eukaryota; Viridiplantae; Streptophyta; Magnoliopsida; Fabales; Fabaceae. The record is from RNAcentral.
CGAAAAUAAUACUUUUAAAGAACAUUGCUUAUAUCUCUGUCUUAACAAAUUCACUCCAACAACUAAUUUAUCUAACAUUGAGAAUGAUAAAUUUCAUGCAGUAAACAACAUGAAGUCCCAAACCAACUUUUCCAAAAUUUAGAGUUCAAUUUCUUAUAUACUGUGCACAAACAAACAAAAACAGUUAUCAAACCCACAAAAUCAAUGAUCAAAUUGUAUAAAAUAGCUAAUAUUUGGGUUGCAGAAGUGAUCUAUCAGUUUCUGUAUGAACAGUAUGAACAAAAAGGAAACUCAAAACUAAAACUUUCAUGUGUUGAACCAGAAUCUAACAUCAAUAACAGAAACAGGGAAAAGAGUUAAGUAAAGUAAUUGCAAAAAGCAAAUCAGAGGAAAGGGAAGAAGUAUCAGAAAUCAUAGGAAUGGGCAGAAUUGGGAAGAAAAUUACACACAAUCACUUGAGAUUUCAUUGCUUCCCAAUCCGCCCAUUCCCACAAAUUCUGAUUGCUUCAAUCUUCCAUUCCCAGCUCUUUGUUAAUUUUUUCUUACAACUCAUUCACCACUUACCCUAACUCCUUUAUAUAACAAGCCUAACUCCCUCAGUCACGUUCUGCAAAACACCACUUUACGUAAAGCUAAAGGCUUAAAGCUUCAAGAUUCCCUCAUCACAAAAGCAUGGUUGGUAUAAAGCAUCUAGUCUCAGCAGAUAAUCUAUUGGA